AGAGUCAGGCGCCGGGAGAAGGCAGCCGGGCUGUGUUUCUCAGCCUUCUGUGCUUUUAGGUGGAACCUGUGACAAAGUAUUGGCCAUGGCAAUGUGGACAGGGUUGCAGGACACCACGUCAGGGUCUGGCUCCUAGAAAACGUCCUUCAUGCCCUGCAGGUGCAUAAAGGCAGCAGCCUUUUGUUACGAGCUCCUCGGCAAUGGGACAAUUCCCCUGUCUGCCCUGCAGGCCAUCCAAUCCUCACCCAGGACCCGGCUGCUGGGAAAAUGGAACCCUGAGGAGCAGCCCCCCCCCUUGGCUUCUCCUUGCUUUGCCACAUGAUGUACUCUGGACGUCCCUUGUCACAGUCAGCACUGAGCCUUGACCAAGUCAGCUGAAUGGAGCCCCCACACAAAGUGCAAUAUGGGAGGAAGCAAGGAGGUCACAAGAGACGCCGCUGGAGGUCCACGGGGCCCUGUGCCCUCCCCUCGCUGUGCUGUGGUAAGAAGGAAGCCCUGAGCCAUAGUGCCACAGCUCAGAGAGGAGCAGGGCUCAGAGCUGGCUCACAGACGGACUGCGCUGAAUCGGGAAGAGAGUCUCCUGCUGGUGACAGCAGCCUGGGACCAAUGCAGCCCCCUCCCACCCCUGGGCCUCCCCAGGCUUUGGCAGGGCCUGUGGCAGUGGCUGCCCAGGCCAGCCUAGUCCUGUGGUCACUCCUGAACAUUCAGCAGGGAAGGCUGGGGCCCCGUGCCAGGUCCCUGAGACCUGCCCGACCCCCUCAGCCCUCUGCUUUCUGAUGCCCCUCAAAACUGGGAGACCCCUGCAAGAUAUUAUGGAAAGAUCCCUGAGUUAAAGAGACCUGGAAGCUGAUGCCACAUCCACUUCUGUCUUGCUGUGUGACUGCAGGGAAAUCACUGCCCUUCUCUGGGACUUAGAUGCCUUGUAAGGUGCAGUUAGAACAGUAAGAGGCUCAUGGCAAAUGCUCCAUGAAUAUUACCCAUUAUUGUAAUGUUAAAUGGGACAUUUGGACUAACUCAUGUCCAAGCCUUUUCCUGUCUUACAGCUGAACAAGCAAAACUUCUGUUUUAACAAAGCUGAUAUAAUAACCAUCGUGGACAUUGUUUAUUAAGCAUGUUUGGGCCAGACGCUACGGUCACAUCAUUUCAUUUACUUCUCAUAAAAAGCCUUGCGAGGUAGAUCAUAUUAGCUCCUACAUGGAAGACAACACAGUUGGGGCCCAGAGAGGUGAAGUAACUUGCCCAAGGUCACACAGUUAAUAAACAACAGGACUUUACUUGAAGCCCAAAGCUUUUCAGUGGUACCACUGACGCUACCUCCGUGAAAAGAUAGAAGCCCUGUACGUAAGGUGACCACACAACUUAUAGUCCACACCAAAACACUUCAUAGGGCGACCAACUGUCCUGGUUUGCCCAGAACUGAGGGAUUUCUCAGGACAAGGGACUUUCAGUGACAAAACCGGCACAGCCCUGGGCAGACAGGGACGGCUGGUCACUGUACUUCUGAGGGAAAUAGAACACUGUCAUUAUUCAGUUUGAGACACCUUCUGAUUCCCCUGGUGGUUUCUCCUUUGACCAAUAGAUUAUUUAAGAUUGUGUUGUUUAAUUUCCAAAGAUUUGGGGAUUUUCUAGAUACCUUGUUUUUGUUUCCAGUGUAAUUUCAUUUUGGUUGGGGAACAUACUUUAUGCGAUUUUAACCUUUUGAAAUUUGCUGAGAUCUGUUUUGUGCUCCAGAACAUGGUCUAUCUUGGUGAACGUUCCGUUUGCAUGAGGGAAGAAUGUGUUCUGCUGUUGCUGGGAGCAGAGGUCUAUAAAUGUCAGCCAGGCUGAGCGAAUUGACAGUGUCGUUCAGACCUCCCAUAUCCUUUGUCUACCAAAGAUCCUUCGCCCUGCCAAUUACUGAGCGCAAAGUAGUAAGGUUUCCUACUGUGAGAGUAGAUUUUUCUGCUUCUCCCUUUAGUGCUGUUAAUUUUUGCUUCUUAUAUUUUGAAGCUCUGCUGCUAGGUGCAUGCACAUUUAGGAAUGUUAUGUCCUCUGAUGAAUUGGCCUUUUUGUCAUUAUGAAAGGUCCCUCUUUAUCUCUGGCAAUAGUCUUUAUCUUGAAGUCUGGAUUAAAUAAUUCAUAAGCUUCUUUCCAACUCUAAAAGAGGAAAGGAAAAGAAAGUAUGUAUGUCCCUGCAACUGCCCUGACUCAUUUAAAGUAAAAAAUAUUCAUGGGUUUGUUUUUUUUUUUUUCCCCCACUCCCUCUCUCGGAGCAUGACAGAUCUCAAUGUUAAGAGCAUCCUUUUAUACAAAAACAAAUGGUCUGUUUGGUUAAAACCUCCCCAGAUGUGAUUCCAACUCAGCUGCAGGAGAAGCAGCUGUUUCUGUCAGCUGAGUUAACGAGGCACUUUGUCUUGGGAAGAAGCAGCAAUUUAUCAGCUCUCUCAGCCCCAAGUCGCCAGGCUCCCGGAUUGACUGCACUGGCCAGGCAGAUGCUAAUGCUGCCCUUUGGAGACCUCCAGAACACAGGUGACCUUCUCCGGUAACAGCCUCCUCCUCUGUGGCUUGUCUGUCAUUGUGUCCACACAGGAUAUGCUUGGAGAAGGUGGGGCCUUGGGAUUCUUGAGCCUGUGGAAUCAAGUCAUUGAUUUAUUGAGGUGGACUAGGAUGCCAGAACUUACCGAGGGGUCAUGCGGGUGUGAGGAGCCAAAGGCAUGUGUGUGGGUUACAUUAUUAACACAUGGUUUAGAAGACAGGGAGCACGUGCUCCCCAAGACCACAGCAGGGGUGCUGGUUGCUUCCACCUCCUUUCAUCAUUGAACCCCCACGUUCAGUGUGGUGAGAAGCAUCUAGUAGAUGUUUAAUACGUAUUUUGGAUGAUUCAAUGAAUAGGCGAACAAAAUUGAAGUCAGAUGUAC
This is a non-coding RNA of Microcebus murinus (gray mouse lemur), 2897 nucleotides long. The record is from RefSeq and is a predicted model, not a curated record. NCBI's taxonomy places the organism in Eukaryota, Metazoa, Chordata, Mammalia, Primates, Cheirogaleidae.